RNAcentral lists this long non-coding RNA (177 nucleotides) under Coturnix japonica (Japanese quail). Its description in RNAcentral is "lncRNA (ENSCJPG00005000402.1)". The record is from RNAcentral. Lineage: Eukaryota; Metazoa; Chordata; Aves; Galliformes; Phasianidae.
GUGGACUUAUAGAACUAUGUAAAUAUCUCUGAGAUUUGGGAUAUUGAGGACUCCUUUUUCUGGUCCCUGCUUACAGCUUGACACAACAUCAGCUCUAGUAGGCAGGUAUGUUUCCAUUUACAUGAUCUGGACAAUGAAUGUGAUAUAAGCUGCCUUGUAUUUACUGCACAAUAAAAG